RNAcentral lists this ribosomal RNA (562 nucleotides) under Idopelma sp. ARC1406. Its description in RNAcentral is "partial 16S ribosomal RNA". The stretch from base 408 to 562 matches the Rfam family "Bacterial large subunit ribosomal RNA", at positions 2473 to 2629 of the family's 2925-position model. The record is from RNAcentral. Lineage: Eukaryota; Metazoa; Arthropoda; Insecta; Coleoptera; Curculionidae.
UUAUUAAAAACAUGGCUUAUUGAAUAUAAUUUUAGGUYUGACCUGCCCAAUGGUGUAUAUAUGUAUAUUAAAUGGCUGCGGUAUACUGACCGUGCAAAGGUAGCAUAAUCAUUAGUUUUUUAAAUGAAAGCUUGUAUGAAAGGUUUGAUAAGAAAAUAGCUGUCUCUAUUUAAAUUUUUUAGAAUUUUAUUUUUAAGUUAAAAAGCUUAAAUAUUUAUAAAAGACGAGAAGACCCUAUAGAGUUUAAUAAUAAAAGUAAUAAAUAAUAAUUUAGGAUUGUAAAAUUUAUUAUAUAAAUUAUUUAGUUGGGGUGAUUGAAAAAUUUAAUAAACUUUUUUUUAAAAAAUUUCACUUAUUUGUGAAUAUUUGAUCCUAAUUUUUAGAUUAUAAGAUAAAAUUACCUUAGGGAUAACAGCGUAAUUUUUUAAAAAGUUCUUAUUAAAAAAAAAGAUUGCGACCUCGAUGUUGGAUUAAAAAAAAUUAUUGGUGUAGAAGCUAAUAAAUUAGGUCUGUUCGACCUUUAAAAUUUUACAUGAUCKGRGUUUAAACCGGSGUAAGCCAG